This 594-nucleotide ribosomal RNA is filed under the name Angiostoma sp. 1 TW-2018. Its description in RNAcentral is "partial 28S ribosomal RNA". It matches the Rfam family "Eukaryotic large subunit ribosomal RNA", at positions 367 to 944 of the family's 3401-position model. Lineage: Eukaryota; Metazoa; Nematoda; Chromadorea; Rhabditida; Angiostomatidae. The record is from RNAcentral.
CAAAGAACUUUGAAGAGAGAGUUCAAGAGAACGUGAAAUCGUUGAAGUGGAACCGGAGAGAGUUGACGAAGCAGGUGUGGUGAAGACGUUCGUGAUUGCUUGCGAGAAGUGAUUUCGUUUGUUGGAUCUGCUUUGGCUGCGUUGGUGGGGUAUUGGUGUCAGUUGAAGCGUGUAGCGUUGCCCACACUUGUGUGGUGUCUUGUUAGCGUGAAAAUUGAUUGCUAGUAGCUUAUAGCUUUGCUUGCAAAGUGCCAACGUUCAAGUCGACCACCUUUCCGACCCGUCUUGAAACACGGACCGAGGAGUGUAGCUAGUGCGCGAGUCAAAGGGUGUCAACCCCCAUGGCGAAAUGAAAGUAAAGGCCAGUUAACUGGUUUAACAUAGGAGUUGUUCGUUGGAGCAAUGCACUAUGGCCCUGUCUUGAAAGCUUGCUUUCGGGCAGAGGAAGAGCGUACUGGUUGCGACCCGAAAGAUGGUGAACUAUGCUUGAGCAGGACGAAGCCAGAGGAAACUCUGGUGGAAGUCCGUAUCGGUUCUGACGUGCAAAUCGAUCGAUAGACUUGAGUAUAGGGGCGAAAGACUAAUCGAACCAUC